This 85-nucleotide transfer RNA is filed under the name Enterococcus sp. Its description in RNAcentral is "tRNA-Ser". It matches the Rfam family "tRNA". Rfam says of the family: Transfer RNA (tRNA) molecules are approximately 80 nucleotides in length. Their secondary structure includes four short double-helical elements and three loops (D, anti-codon, and T loops). The record is from RNAcentral. Lineage: Bacteria; Bacillati; Bacillota; Bacilli; Lactobacillales; Enterococcaceae.
GGCGAGUUUGCCUAGCGGCCUAAGGCACUGGCUUGGAAAGUCAGAACCGGUAAAACGGUCGUGGGUUCGAAUCCCUCACUCGCCG